This 306-nucleotide ribosomal RNA is filed under the name uncultured bacterium. Its description in RNAcentral is "bacterial SSU rRNA". It matches the Rfam family "Bacterial small subunit ribosomal RNA", at positions 28 to 334 of the family's 1533-position model. The record is from RNAcentral.
GACGAACGCUGGCGGCGUGCCUAACACAUGCAAGUCGAACGGGGUGAUUCCUUCGGGGAUCACUUAGUGGCGAACGGGUGAGUAACGCGUGAGGAACCUGCCUCUCAGUGGGGGACAACAGUUGGAAACGACUGCUAAUACCGCAUAAUGUAGCGAGACCGCAUGAUCUUGCUACCAAAGCUUUAUGUGCUGAGAGAUGGCCUCGCGUCUGAUUAGCUAGUUGGUGGGGUAACGGCCCACCAAGGCGACGAUCAGUAGCCGGUCUGAGAGGAUGAACGGCCACAUUGGGACUGAGAUACGGCCCAG